CCGGGUUGUACCUGAGAUACGGAGAGCGUCAACAAGCUCCUAGCAACUCGCUUGGAAACAGUCAAGCUCGGCUCGCCAAUCGGCAGGGAGGCUGCGGCUGUGAUGUGAGUUUCACGCUUGUCUUCAUUAACAGAUUACAGAUUGGGUCGCUGACAAACCAGGACGGAGGGCACGACACAGGCGGGGGGAGACCCGGCUUCAACACCCCGCCAGGAAGCUUUGGAACGGGGGGGUGUCCGGUCUGAGAUUCAAUUCCACCUGGGGUAUAGACCCGCACCUCUCGUAGGAUCAAGUCUUCGUUAGCUUUGUUAUUGGCAAGUAACCAAAGAUCUACUUCCUGAACGACCAUUCAAGGGAGCAGGGGGAUAUUUUGACUGAAUAGUUGAAUAAGUUAUUACUCAAGUAGAAGACCGAAUGGGAUAGAGUGAAGAAACUAUUAAGAAAAUUGAGAGGAAAUUUUCAAAAUUCAUUAACAACGUCGAAGGUAGCAUACUUCAAGAGAAAAUAUGCAGAAGAAGAAGAUUUACAUAAAGUUUACAAUGGGUACUUUCCAAAAAACUUGAUCUUUCCCGAAGAUCGAACAUGUAUUCUGAGACUUUCACUUGAAAAAUUAAGGAUUCUUGAAGAUCCUGAAAUCUAUCUUCGAAGGGCUGUGUUAAUAAACAAUUUAUUGAGGAAAAUCCAUAUUGAAACAGAGAAAGAAGUCUAUGAUUAUGCUGAACAAUUUAAUAAGGCCUCAACACACCUAUAUAAUGAUGCACAGAAAAGAGUGAAAUAUAUGAUGAAAGAUUAUAGUGGAUGUCCCCAGUCUUUGUAUUAUGAAGAGAUUGGUUCAUAUUCCUUUGUGCCUUUUUCUUCAAGCAAUGUCAUUUAUGGACUUGGUUUCCCAAAUGGCCAUUUGGGAAAAAGUACUUCCUAAAGUGGAAUUCCAAACAGGAUGAGCUGCUACAUCUAUACCUCUCCUCAUUCUGUCUGGGCAUAUGCCAGUGCUUUGUAAGCCGACACUCAUCAAUGAGUCUGCAGUUAAGUCCUCAUGUAUAUUUUCUGAUUAGAAAGUUGGCAUCUUCAUAAAUCAAUAAAGAAGAACACUUAGAUUAAACUUUGUUUUUGAUCAUAUGUAUUUGGAACAUUGUGUACUUAAUGUGUAGUGUUUUCUUGUUGAGUAUGGACUAGAUGGUUGAAUAUGGACUAUGUAUAGUUUUUAAACUAAUACGGUACAAAGUAGAGAUUUGUUGAUGUUUCUUUGUAAUUGCAUUUUGAUGCUAGUUUUUGUCAUUCUUUCCACUCACCUCUGUUUAGAUAGUGAGAUGGAUCCUUCACUGCCACCUUCAUUGUUCCUUCUGGAGGCUGGGUCCUCCAAACUUUCUCUUACCUGUCAUGAUGCACAGUGAUGUGAGGGGAAACAGUCACCUUAUCCAAGGAAGGGUAAGUUUGCUUUAGUAACCACUGAGGCCAUCAUUGUGAAUGACAUCCUGCAACAAGCUCUAGGCACUUUGUUUUUGGAGCCUUUGGUUUGUCGUAAAGGCAGUACUCUAUAGUUAUUGUGGUUCAAAUAAUUCUUUACAAAGCAAACUUACAGAAUAUGUGUGAUUAGUUGGGAAGCUAAGCCUAUGCUGAAGUCCUGAAAUGCAGUGUAAACUAGUCACAUAAUCACCAAACAAUGCACAAUACAUUCUUAUGUCUGGAUAAAAUUUACAGUACAUGAUUAUACAAAGUGAAAAUGGGUUUAUAUUUUGAAUAGUCCGACUUAGAUAGUGAAACAAGAUCUAAGGCUGUGGGAGAGUAAACUGAAGGAAAAGAAUGAACCUAUUGUGAAGGGAUUUUGAAAGGUGGAGCCAUUGGUAAUGUAUAUCAGACAACUCCAUUCUUCUUAUAGAUAGGAAUGCAAUCAUGGAUGACCACUGAUUUGUAAGGUACACAUCCAGUAAUAUACUAUUAUGGUUUACCAUUAUACAUGUUUCUUUUUCAUUUUAACCUUUUUGGAUGCUUUUUAACUUGGUUGUUGAAUUGUACCUUUCAAUAGAAACUUGUGGCCUGGGUCAGCUGGAGU
Long non-coding RNA from Pristis pectinata (smalltooth sawfish), 2050 nucleotides. RefSeq lists it as uncharacterized. NCBI's taxonomy places the organism in Eukaryota, Metazoa, Chordata, Chondrichthyes, Rhinopristiformes, Pristidae. The transcript has 4 exons. The record is from RefSeq and is a predicted model, not a curated record.